UUAAGUAUCCCGCCUGGGGAGUACGAUCGCAAGGUUGAAACUCAAAGGAUUUGUCGGGGGCCCGCACAAUCGGUGGAGCAUGUGGUUUAAUUCGAUGCUACGCGAAGAACCUUACCGGGGUUUGAAAUGCAGUUGCUCUCCGUUGAAAGACGGAUUUCCUUCGGGACAACUGUACAGGUGCUGCAUGGCUGUCGUCAGCUCGUUCCGUGAGGUGUUGGGUUAAGUCCCGCUACGAGCGCAACCCUUGUCCUUAGUUGCUAUCAGGUCAAGUUGAGUACUUUUAUUGGUUUUCCUCGGAUAUCGAGUUGUUAUAUUUGGUUUUUAUUUCAAGUCUUCUGGGCCUUUAUAUCCCGGGCUACACACGUGCUACAAUGGCCAGUACAACGGGAAGCGAUACCGUGAGGUGGAGCAAAUCCCUUAAAACUGGUCUCAGUUCGGAUUGUAGUCUGCAACUCGACUACAUGAAGUUGGAAUCGCUAGUAAUCGCGGAUCAGCAUGCCGCGGUGAUACGUUCCCGGGCCUUGUACACACCGCCCGUCACGCCAUGGGAGUUGAUAGCACCCGAAGUCGCCGGGCUAACCUUUCNGGGGAGGCAGGUGCCGAAGGUGAGAUCA
This 614-nucleotide ribosomal RNA is filed under the name uncultured organism. RNAcentral describes it as "bacterial SSU rRNA". It matches the Rfam family "Bacterial small subunit ribosomal RNA", at positions 860 to 1470 of the family's 1533-position model. The record is from RNAcentral.